UACGUAGGUGGCAAGCGUUGUCCGGAUUUAUUGGGUUUAAAGGGUGCGUAGGCGGUCUAUUAAGUCAGCGGUGAAAUACUCCAGCUUAACUGGAGGGGUGCCAUUGAUACUGAUGGACUUGAGUCAAGUCGAGGUAGGCGGAAUUGACGGUGUAGCGGUGAAAUGCUUAGAUAUCGUCAAGAACACCUAUAGCGAAGGCAGCUUACUAGGCUGUAACUGACGCUGAGGCACGAAAGUGUGGGGAUCAAACAGG
This 253-nucleotide ribosomal RNA is filed under the name uncultured bacterium. RNAcentral describes it as "partial 16S ribosomal RNA". It matches the Rfam family "Bacterial small subunit ribosomal RNA", at positions 524 to 776 of the family's 1533-position model. The record is from RNAcentral.